RNAcentral lists this unclassified non-coding RNA (306 nucleotides) under plant metagenome. Its description in RNAcentral is "partial contains 5.8S ribosomal RNA, internal transcribed spacer 2, and large subunit ribosomal RNA". The stretch from base 1 to 105 matches the Rfam family "5.8S ribosomal RNA", at positions 50 to 154 of the family's 154-position model. The record is from RNAcentral.
GAAAUGCGAUAAGUAAUGUGAAUUGCAGAAUUCAGUGAAUCAUCGAAUCUUUGAACGCACAUUGCGCCCGCCAGUAUUCUGGCGGGCAUGCCUGUCCGAGCGUCAUUUCAACCAUCAAGCCCCCGGGCUUGUGUUGGGGACCUGCGGCUGCCCGCAGGCCCUGAAAACCAGUGGCGGGCUCGCUGUCACACCGAGCGUAGUAGCAAUCACCUCGCUCAGGGCGUGCUGCGGGUUCCGGCCGUUAAACAGCCUUACAAAACCCAAGGUUGACCUCGGAUCAGGUAGGAACACCCGCUGAACUUGAGC